Long non-coding RNA from Elaeis guineensis (African oil palm), 794 nucleotides. RefSeq lists it as uncharacterized. The record is from RefSeq and is a predicted model, not a curated record. Lineage: Eukaryota; Viridiplantae; Streptophyta; Magnoliopsida; Arecales; Arecaceae.
CCCGGUACAAACCGGGCUGCUGGGGUUGUUUUAUCCCCGAGUUAAUGACCAACACCGCCCUCGGUCGCUUCUUUCUCCUCUUCUCCGGUGCUCCGUGCUCGCUUCUCUCCCUUGUUCUCUAAUCUCUACCCUGCCAUGUCAAUUUCCUCCGAUCCGUCGCCGAUCCUAAUCGAUUGACUUCCUUUACUUCGCCAUUAACUUCGCCUCAUCUUCUUCACCGGCGCUCGCUCGCUGUCGUUCGCCCUCUCCUCUUGUGGUCUUUCCUAGGGUUUAGGGUGAGGCUCUUGCCCUAGGGUUUGUGGACGAUCGAAGGCGACGGGGAGGCUCUGGGAGGACGGCGUUCUUCAAUUUCCUGGGAGGGAAGGACUUGGCUCUAGAGAAGUCGGGAAGGAAAUCUAUAAGGCCGCUGAAGUGUCAGUUAUAUAUGGAGUGAGUUCCUUGGCCUUUGUUUUGCUGCUCAAGGGCAACUGGAGCAAGGAGCAUCCACGAAGUGUAAAUGGAAACAAACACAAGACGCCAUAUUACUUUGGUCCAUUUAAACCCAUUUCACCCCGGUAGCUGGUGCUGUUUGGAUUAUCUGCCUUAUGGUUCACCAGACAACAAGACUUUUAACAUGGCUGAUAAAGGAGGUUCAAUAAACCUGGUGCUUUGGAGGGGACAUAAAAAAGAAGUCGCUGACAGCUGAAUUAAAAUAGACGAAGUGUUACAGUUACAAGAAAAACUUCAUGAUACAUACAGCUACGCAUAUUUCUAUCACAGCAAAGAUAAUAGCACAUAAGACUGAAAUUGAACCA